RNAcentral lists this ribosomal RNA (693 nucleotides) under Triticum aestivum (bread wheat). RNAcentral describes it as "partial small subunit ribosomal RNA". The record is from RNAcentral. Lineage: Eukaryota; Viridiplantae; Streptophyta; Magnoliopsida; Poales; Poaceae.
AUGGCCAUGGUCUGCCGCGCGGUCUUCGGGCCGGUGUUCAACAUGGACGGCCGCUGCCAACAGCUGCAGGACCUUGUCCGUUCCACCGGCGCCCUCGUCGCCGGUUAUAGCGCGCUGGACUUCUUCCCGGCCUUGGUCAGCAAGGCUGGCUUCAUCAGGCGGUUUGUCUGCGGCAAGGCGGCCAAGCUCAGGAGCGCGUGGGACGGGGUUCUAGAUGAAAUCAUCGCGGAGCACGAGCAGGACGGAUUCAUCGACUCGCUGAGGUCAGCUCAGCGCGAGUACGGGUUGUCCAAGGAGCACGUGAGAGUAAUCUUAAUCGACACCUUCUUCGGCGCCACCGACUCCACCGCAACGCUCAUGGAAUGCGUUUUGGCGGAACUAAUGGCGAACCCUCGCGCGAUGUACACCCUCCAAGCCGAGCUGAGGAGAAGCGUCCCCAACGGAGGAAGCAGCCAUGGAGAUGGAGGGAUACUAACCCAGGAUGAUCUCGCGGGUAAACCAUACUUCAAGGCAGUGAUCAAAGAAUGUUUUCGCCUCCACCGUCCAGCGCCCCUGCUCGGGCCGCACCUGUCCAUGGACAGGGUGCGGCUCCUCGACGGGUACCAGAUCCCAGCAGCAAUGCCCGUCAUGGUGAACGCCUGGGCCAUCGGGCGGGACCCGGUCGUUUGGGGUGAGGACGCUCAUACUUAUUGA